AGUCGAGCGGUAGAGAGAAGCUUGCUUCUCUUGAGAGCGGCGGACGGGUGACUAAUGCCUAGGAAUCUGCCUGGUAGUGGGGGAUAACGUUCGGAAACGGACGCUAAUACCGCAUACGUCCUACGGGAGAAAGCAGGGGACCUUCGGGCCUUGCGCUAUCAGAUGAGCCUAGGUCGGAUUAGCUAGUUGGUGAGGUAAUGGCUCACCAAGGCGACGAUCCGUAACUGGUCUGAGAGGAUGAUCAGUCACACUGGAACUGAGACACGGUCCAAACUCCUACGGGAGGCAGCAGUGGGGAAUAUUGGACAAUGGGCGAAAGCCUGAUCCAGCCAUGCCCCGUGUGUGAAGAAGGUCUUCGGAUUGUAAAGCACUUUAAGUUGGGAGGAAGGGUUGUAGAUUAAUACUCUGCAAUUUUGACGUUACCGACAGAAUAAGCACCGGCUAACUCUGUGCCAGCAGCCGCGGUAAUACAGAGGGUGCAAGCGUUAAUCGGAAUUACUGGGCGUAAAGCGCGCGUAGGUGGUUUGUUAAGUUGGAUGUGAAAUCCCCGGGCUCAACCUGGGAACUGCAUUCACAACUGACUGACUAGAGUAUGGUAGAGGGUGGUGGAAUU
Molecule: ribosomal RNA, 613 nt
Filed under: Pseudomonas cedrina
Lineage: Bacteria; Pseudomonadati; Pseudomonadota; Gammaproteobacteria; Pseudomonadales; Pseudomonadaceae
Description: bacterial SSU rRNA
Rfam family: Bacterial small subunit ribosomal RNA
Source: RNAcentral